UCUACCAGUAAGACUGUGGGGGAUAAGCUCCAUUGUCAAGAGGGAAACAGCCCAGAGCACCAGUUAAGGCCCUUAAAUAAUUACUAAGUGAUAAAGGAGGUGGGAGUGCAUAAACAAUCAGGAGGUUUGCUUAGAAGCAGCAAUCCUUUAAAGAGUGCGUAAUAGCUCACUGAUCGAGUAAACCUGCGCCGAAAAUGAACGGGACUAAGUAAUUUGCCGAAACUGUGCG
Molecule: ribosomal RNA, 229 nt
Filed under: Eutreptiella gymnastica
Lineage: Eukaryota; Euglenozoa; Euglenophyceae; Eutreptiales; Eutreptiaceae
Description: partial Bacterial large subunit ribosomal RNA
Rfam family: Bacterial large subunit ribosomal RNA
Source: RNAcentral